RNAcentral lists this ribosomal RNA (496 nucleotides) under uncultured bacterium. Its description in RNAcentral is "partial 16S ribosomal RNA". It matches the Rfam family "Bacterial small subunit ribosomal RNA", at positions 28 to 507 of the family's 1533-position model. The record is from RNAcentral.
GAUGAACGCUGGCGGCGUGCCUAAUACAUGCCAGUCGAGCGAACGGACGAGAAGCUUGCUUCUCUGAUGUUAGCGGCGGACGGGUGAGUAACACGUGGAUAACCUACCUAUAAGACUGGGAUAACUUCGGGAAACCGGAGCUAAUACCGGAUGAUAUUUUGAACCGCAUGGUGCAAAAGUGAAAGACGGUCUUGCUGUCACUUAUAGAUGGAUCCGCGCUGCAUUAGCUAGUUGGUAAGGUAACGGCUUACCAAGGCAACGAUGCAUAGCCGACCUGAGAGGGUGAUCGGCACACUGGAACUGAGACACGGUCCAGACUCCUACGGGAGGCAGCAGUAGGGAAUCUUCCGCAAUGGGCGAAAGCCUGACGGAGCAACGCCGCGUGAGUGAUGAAGGUCUUCGGAUCGUAAAACUCUGUUAUUAGGGAAGAACAUAUGUGUAAGUAACUGUGCACAUCUUGACGGUACCUAAUCAGAAAGCCACGGCUAACUACGUG